CAAUAGCGUAUACUAAUGUUGUUGCAGUUAAAAAGCUCGUAGUUGCACUUCUGGUAGGAGUGUCCCGGCCUUUUUGUUUUUACAAAUUGUAUGCUGUGUGACAUCUCUGGCCAUCCUUCUUCUUUGUUUAAAGAAGAUCUUUCACUGUAAAAAAAUUAGGGUGUUCAAAGCAAAAGUUUCUUUGGAAUAUAUUAGUAUGGGAUGAUAAGAUAGGCUCUAGAUGCUAUUUUGUUGGUUUGCACAUUUAGAGAAUGAUUAACAGGGACAGUUGGGGGUAUUCGUAUUUACAUGUCAGAGGUGAAAUUCUUGGAUUUUGGAAAGACGAACUACUGCGAAAGCAUUUACCAAGGAUGUUUUCAUUAA
Molecule: ribosomal RNA, 363 nt
Filed under: uncultured eukaryote
Lineage: Eukaryota
Description: partial 18S ribosomal RNA
Rfam family: Eukaryotic small subunit ribosomal RNA
Source: RNAcentral